GGGGCGGGGGCCGGAACCGGCCUCAGCUGGGGCCCGGCCGUCCCCCUCCCCCGCCCUCCUCCAGGUCUCCGGGGGAACGCGCAGCCAAUCCCCGCCGCCCACUGCGGGCUCGCCCCGGCCCGGGCCGCGGCGCGCCAGCCUUGGGCCGGGGCUUUUCCCCUCUCUCCCUCGCCAUCUCUCCCGCUCUGCUUUCCCCGUUCCCUUCUCCACGACGAGUUUUUAAACUUUGAUGAACUCGCCCAGCGAACUUUCUUAAAGGGGCCGCGCGCCCCGCGCUGUCCCAGCCCGCGGGAGGUGGAGCUGGGUGCCAGGCGCCCCGCGACCCCUCGCCCCCGGCAUCUCCGCCCCGGCGGCUCCACGCUAGGGGCGCCCGAAGCGGGGGUCCUGGGUCGUCGGCUUCGGGAAGUAGGCUCCUCUUGUACUCUGAUCCGGGUUAUAGGGUGUUCGGCAAACUCAUUUCACCCUCAAAUCCAGCCUCCCAGACCCGGUCCACGCUCUCUUCCCUCCCCCGAGCUCAGGGCUGCUGGGAGCCGGGUUCUGGAGAUGAUGGCUGGAGGGGGGGCGCCUAGACACCUGGGCUUUGGCCUUGGCUGGGCGCCGUUUUGCUACGUGACCUUGAGGAAAUCACUUCCCCUCUCUGGCCUCAGGCUUCCAGCCCAGAGGGUGGGACUUACAUCUCAAACUAAUCUUCCCGCUCCCAGUCACUGAAUAGGACCAAGGCUGGGAGACGAGCCUUUGGGACCCAAAUGGUUAUUAGCCCCAAGGAAGGGGUGCCUCGAGUGACCGAGAAGCUUCCAUUCGCCUCCCCCUCUCCCACCCAGCUUUUGGGUCCUCUCCUCCCUCGGCUUAAAUGCCUCCCCAGCACACACACACACACGCAUGCACACACACACAUUUCGCCGCCUCCUAUUCAGAGCCCGAGGGCGCGGGGAGGGGAAAGCAGGCUCGCGGCUCGGGCGGGGUCGUCGUGACUCCCCUCCACGGGUCUUGAGGGCGCGGCCCCGGGGUUGGUUUUCCUCUGAGUUUGAAAACCCGCGCCGCUAGGGGCCGGCCCUGCCGCCACCUCGGAAGAACCCGCGCCCACCUCGAGUCGCGCUUAAAGUGCAGCAGCCACAAGCCCGGCGGAGCCGCGCGGAGACUGGCCACCUCCCCGGCGCCCCCGCCUCCGAACUCGAGCUGCGCCCUGGGGGAUCCCGGCCAGAGGCUUCGUCGGGACUCGGGAAACCACUGCCGAGAGGUCAAAGGUUCCUGGCUUGGACCCUGGGCUCCCAGCUUACACCUCCCGCUCAGCAGACAGAGCCCCUGCCCCACCACCAGCUCCUAUCCAACCACUGGGCCAGUGGCUUUUGCAAUUGGGGAAACUGAAGUUCAGCAGCUGAAAUCAACUCACCUGAGGUCACACAGCAAGGUACUGAGUUCAUUUCAUACUUUCUAUUUAAUUUCAAAGGCAGAUGACUUGGAAAUUUUCUUUCUAAGAAAAAACAAAAUUAAUCAAAGAUCUUUUCGUAUGGAGCCCUCAAAUGACCUUUUAUCCUCCAGAAAGUCUGUGUGUUCAAAAAAAUGGGUUUUAAGUUCUGGCAACAAUUAAAUGGCACUUGCUAAACUUUUACUGGUUUUGAGUCCUUCCCAGGGAACCAAAGGUCACUGAGAGCGCCUCCCUGCCUGAGUCGCCGGUCUCCCAGAGCCUGAGAGAGGGGCCCCCAGGCCGGACAAGCUCUGUAGAACUGCCCGGCGUGCCUGGGAAGCUGGCCCCACUGGGCAGAGUUUCUAAGAAAGACCAAGGGGCUGAAAGUAGGAAUUGUUGCACUUGACCAGUGUCCAGUGGGGCAAGUGACAGUCUUUUGGGGACUGGUGCUCUGCAUGGAGUGGGGUGGGGCAGGGCGGGGAGGGAAGAUGAGCUGGCCCCACCCUCACCACUGAAGGUGGCCGUGAGACUCCUGUCCCCACCAUCUUUCCAGUCCUUUUUGCCUUCCAAAAAACUUGUUGUUCAUAAGGAGCAGGGGGCAGGUGUACUCCUUCUCUCUUAGGCCUUAGGGAUUUAAGAAGGCAGUAGGGAGAGAGGGCAGUGCUUCCCUCGUGGUGGGUGUUAGGUCCCUGCAGAUCAUGGAAUCUGGGUUAGAGGGGCCCAGAGGUCCAAGCCAGUGGGCCUCACACUGGACUCCCUCUGAAAAAGACCGAUUCCUGGGGCCUGUCUAAAAACAACUCCAUCUCAAUCUCUGGGGGCCGUCCUUGGGAAACUGCUUAUAUCCUAGCAACUAGAGCCCCAGGACCUGAAUCCAACCAUCUGCAUCAGACGCCUGAUCUCCAGCAGCCUCUUUGAACUUGGGGAGAAGCAACUCAGACCCCCUACCCCGAACUGCUCAUUGUGCUGCUAUGCCUCCAACUCUGCCUACAGCAACAUUGUUAUCAGAUAACAAUUCCCCAUAAUUAAUUUUUGUCAAUAGCACUUGGCUGUUGACCUCUUAGCUCAGAGGCGAAGCUUCCAAUUCUAGACUGAGACAGGCCUUGCUGCACUUUAUAUUUGUUUUUGUGACCUUGGGCAAAGUGACUAAGGACUCUGAGGCUCAAUUUCCUCAUCUGUGAAAUGGGGAUAGUUUGUGUGGUAUCACACAACAGUGCUUGGCAUAAUGUCCUGUCAGUUAAAAAUUUAAGUUGUUCCUCCAGUUAAACCCAAAUCUGUCUCCCUGUGCCUCCACCCAACUCCGCUCUCUAUCUGGCCGUGGGCUUCCUAGCUCCAUAGAGCAAACCCACACUCCCUAUCUGUCCAGGGUGGUCCUUGGCAGCCGGCAGGCCCUUUUCCCAGCACCUGACCCCUCACACCCUGGUCACCCCUCUUCUGGACUGUUUGGACACUAAGGAUGGUGAGAUUCUAUGAGAGGGGGACUCUGCUCAGCAGGACAGGCAUCCGGGAGUUCUUGACCUGUGGGGAAUCAGAGCGGCUUAUGUGAAAAAGGCUGUAGAGAACGGUGACCCCAGGAGAGAAGAGGGUAGCUCCCGCACUCUGCUAGUGUAAGCCCGCCAACCUAGGCAUCCCGCUGUGUGCCAGGCACAGGGCCUGGCAUAACACAUCCCUCAGCUCAUUGAACUCUCACAGCUGGCUGGUAGAUGACUUUUCCUUACUUUACAUUUGAGGUGCAGAGAGGUUAAGUAACCUGUACAAUCAUGCACAGCUAUAACUGACAAGACUGGGAUUUGAACCCAGGUCUCCAUGCACCCCACUGCUGAAACUAGAAUGGAACAAAGGAGUUGAAUUUGAAUGGAGAUCUAAGUCCAAAAUGCAGUUUUCUUCCAGAAGUCAUCUUGAUAAAUAUUUGCUAAUUUCUUAUCUAACAUAAUCCCUUGCAUUUACAGUACACUAGUAACACUGUAUUUUUUUCCCCAUGAAUGUACACUUUCAUUUUUUUCUUUUUUUGGAAGAGCUAAUAUAUGCUCAUGGUGUUUAUGGUAUAAAUUGCACAAG
Long non-coding RNA from Equus caballus (horse), 3460 nucleotides. The record is from Ensembl. NCBI's taxonomy places the organism in Eukaryota, Metazoa, Chordata, Mammalia, Perissodactyla, Equidae.